This 382-nucleotide ribosomal RNA is filed under the name uncultured soil bacterium. Its description in RNAcentral is "bacterial SSU rRNA". It matches the Rfam family "Bacterial small subunit ribosomal RNA", at positions 26 to 402 of the family's 1533-position model. The record is from RNAcentral.
AGAGUGAACGCUGGCGGUAGGCCUAACACAUGCAAGUCGAACGGCAGCACAGUGGUAGCAAUACCAUGGGUGGCGAGUGGCGGACGGGUGAGGAAUACAUCGGAAUCUACCUUUUCGUGGGGGAUAACGUAGGGAAACUUACGCUAAUACCGCAUACGCCCUUUGGGGGAAAGCCGGGGAUCGCAAGACCUGGCGCGGAUAGAUGAGCCGAUGUCGGAUUAGCUAGUUGGUGAGGUAAUGGCUCACCAAAGGCGACGAUCCGUAGCUGGUCUGAGAGGAUGAUCAGCCACACUGGAACUGAGACACGGUCCAGACUCCUACGGGAGCAGCAGUGGGGAAUAUUGGACAAAGUGGGCGCAAGCCUGAUCCAGCCAUACCGCGU